GUAGCCGAUUCUCAGACCUACUGAACAUACUAUUGA
This 36-nucleotide small RNA is filed under the name Bombyx mori (domestic silkworm). Its description in RNAcentral is "ovarian small RNA-17651". The record is from RNAcentral. Lineage: Eukaryota; Metazoa; Arthropoda; Insecta; Lepidoptera; Bombycidae.